UACGAAGGGGGCUAGCGUUGCUCGGAAUUACUGGGCGUAAAGCGCACGUAGGCGGACUUUUAAGUCGGGGGUGAAAUCCUGGAGCUCAACUCCAGAACUGCCUUCGAAACUGAAAGCCUUGAGUUCGGGAGAGGUGAGUGGAACUGCAAGUGUAGAGGUGAAAGUCGUAGAUAUUCGCAAGAACACCAGUGGCGAAGGCGGCUCACUGGCCCGAUACUGACGCUGAGGUGCGAAAGCGUGGGGAGUAAACAGG
RNAcentral lists this ribosomal RNA (253 nucleotides) under uncultured bacterium. RNAcentral describes it as "partial 16S ribosomal RNA". It matches the Rfam family "Bacterial small subunit ribosomal RNA", at positions 524 to 776 of the family's 1533-position model. The record is from RNAcentral.